UGCAAGUCGAGCGGAAGGCCCUUCGGGGUACUCGAGCGGCGAACGGGUGAGUAACACGUGAGCAACCUGCCCUAGGCUUUGGGAUAACCCUCGGAAACGGGGGCUAAUACCGAAUAGGACCUGACCUCGCAUGGGGUUGGGUGGAAAGUUUUUCGGCCUGGGAUGGGCUCGCGGCCUAUCAGCUUGUUGGUGGGGUGAUGGCCUACCAAGGCGACGACGGGUAGCCGGCCUGAGAGGGCGACCGGCCACACUGGGACUGAGACACGGCCCAGACUCCUACGGGAGGCAGCAGUGGGGAAUAUUGCACAAUGGGCGGAAGCCUGAUGCAGCGACGCCGCGUGAGGGAUGACGGCCUUCGGGUUGUAAACCUCUUUCAGCAGGGACGAAGCGCAAGUGACGGUACCUGCAGAAGAAGCGCCGGCCAACUACGUGCCAGCAGCCGCGGUAAGACGUAGGGCGCGAGCGUUGUCCGGAUUUAUUGGGCGUAAAGAGCUCGUAGGCGGCUUGUCGCGUCGACCGUGAAAACUUGGGGCUCAACCCCAAGCCUGCGGUCGAUACGGGCAGGCUAGAGUUCGGUAGGGGAGACUGGAAUUCCUGGUGUAGCGGUGAAAUGCGCAGAUAUCAGGAGGAACACCGGUGGCGAAGGCGGGUCUCUGGGCCGAUACUGACGCUGAGGAGCGAAAGCGUGGGGAGCGAACAGGAUUA
Molecule: ribosomal RNA, 705 nt
Filed under: Micromonospora sp. S19-05
Lineage: Bacteria; Bacillati; Actinomycetota; Actinomycetes; Micromonosporales; Micromonosporaceae
Description: bacterial SSU rRNA
Rfam family: Bacterial small subunit ribosomal RNA
Source: RNAcentral